RNAcentral lists this ribosomal RNA (468 nucleotides) under uncultured bacterium. RNAcentral's name for it is "partial 16S ribosomal RNA". It matches the Rfam family "Bacterial small subunit ribosomal RNA", at positions 28 to 507 of the family's 1533-position model. The record is from RNAcentral.
GACGAACGCUGGCGGCGUGCUUAACACAUGCAAGUCGAACGGAAAGGCCCUGCUUUUGUGGGGUGCUCGAGUGGCGAACGGGUGAGUAACACGUGAGUAACCUGCCCUUGACUUUGGGAUAACUUCAGGAAACUGGGGCUAAUACCGGAUAGGAGCUCCUGCUGCAUGGUGGGGGUUGGAAAGUUUCGGCGGUUGGGGAUGGACUCGCGGCUUAUCAGCUUGUUGGUGGGGUAGUGGCUUACCAAGGCUUUGACGGGUAGCCGGCCUGAGAGGGUGACCGGCCACAUUGGGACUGAGAUGCGGCCCAGACUCCUACGGGAGGCAGCAGUGGGGAAUAUUGCGCAAUGGGCGGGAGCCUGAUGCAGCAACGCCGCGUGCGGGAUGACGGCCUUCGGGUUGUAAACCGCUUUCGCCUGUGACGAAGCGUGAGUGACGGUAAUGGGUAAAGAAGCACCGGCUAACUACGUG